AUGGGCGGAAGCCUGAUGCAGCAACGCCGCGUGCGGGAUGACGGCCUUCGGGUUGUAAACCGCUUUCGCCUGUGACGAAGCGUGAGUGACGGUAAUGGGUAAAGAAGCACCGGCUAACUACGUGCCAGCAGCCGCGGUGAUACGUAGGGUGCGAGCGUUGUCCGGAUUUAUUGGGCGUAAAGGGCUCGUAGGUGGUUGAUCGCGUCGGAAGUGUAAUCUUGGGGCUUAACCCUGAGCGUGCUU
RNAcentral lists this ribosomal RNA (243 nucleotides) under Mucochytrium quahogii. Its description in RNAcentral is "labyrinthulid quahog parasite QPX partial Bacterial small subunit ribosomal RNA". It matches the Rfam family "Bacterial small subunit ribosomal RNA", at positions 371 to 626 of the family's 1533-position model. The record is from RNAcentral. Lineage: Eukaryota; Bigyra; Thraustochytrida; Thraustochytriidae.